UACCCAUGAUGAAGACACAUACUCAAUAACUCCUUAAAUCUCUCUCAAGACUGAUAGAAAGUCUUACUGUUGUUUUGUGCGAAGGUGGAGAUUUGCCUUUUUAAAGCA
Carya illinoinensis is the source of this 108-nucleotide small nucleolar RNA. Lineage: Eukaryota; Viridiplantae; Streptophyta; Magnoliopsida; Fagales; Juglandaceae. The record is from RefSeq and is a predicted model, not a curated record.